ACCAUAGCAAAAUCUAUGGUCAGGCGUGGAAACCUGAAAUAUUUUACAAAGGCGCAAAUAAGUCGCGCAAGCGGCUGUUUU
RNAcentral lists this small RNA (81 nucleotides) under Acinetobacter baumannii. Its description in RNAcentral is "isrK Hfq binding RNA". It matches the Rfam family "isrK Hfq binding RNA". The record is from RNAcentral. Lineage: Bacteria; Pseudomonadati; Pseudomonadota; Gammaproteobacteria; Moraxellales; Moraxellaceae.